UACGUAGGGGGCGAGCGUUGUCCGGAUUUAUUGGGCGUAAAGAGCGUGUAGGCGGCCAGGUAGGUCUGCUGUGAAAACUCGAGGCUUAACCUCGAGCUGUCGGCGGAAACCAUCUGGCUAGAGUCCGGAAGAGGAGAAUGGAAUUCCCGGUGUAGCGGUGAAAUGCGCAGAUAUCGGGAAGAACACCAGUGGCGAAGGCGGCUAUCUGGACGGUUUCUGACGCUAAGACGCGAAAGCGUGGGGAGCAAACAGG
Molecule: ribosomal RNA, 253 nt
Filed under: uncultured bacterium
Lineage: Bacteria
Description: partial 16S ribosomal RNA
Rfam family: Bacterial small subunit ribosomal RNA
Source: RNAcentral